GCUUACGGCCAUACCACCCUGAGAACGCCCGAUCUCGUCCGAUCUCGGAAGCUAAGCAGGGUCGGGCCUGGUUAGUACUGGAUGGGAGACCGCCUGGGAAUACCAGGUGCUGUAAGCU
Ribosomal RNA from Takifugu rubripes (torafugu), 118 nucleotides. Lineage: Eukaryota; Metazoa; Chordata; Actinopteri; Tetraodontiformes; Tetraodontidae. The record is from Ensembl.